UACAGAGGUCUCAAGCGUUGUUCGGAUUUACUGGGCGUAAAGCGCACGUAGGCGGAUCGUUAAGUCGGGGGUGAAAUCCUGGAGCUCAACUCCAGAACUGCCUUCGAUACUGGCGAUCUUGAGUCCGGAAGAGGUGAGUGGAACUCCUAGUGUAGAGGUGGAAUUCGUAGAUAUUAGGAAGAACACCAGUGGCGAAGGCGGCUCACUGGUCCGGUACUGACGCUGAGGUGCGAAAGCGUGGGGAGCAAACAGG
RNAcentral lists this ribosomal RNA (253 nucleotides) under uncultured bacterium. RNAcentral's name for it is "partial 16S ribosomal RNA". It matches the Rfam family "Bacterial small subunit ribosomal RNA", at positions 524 to 776 of the family's 1533-position model. The record is from RNAcentral.